UAGGGAAUCUUCGGCAAUGGACGAAAGUCUGACCGAGCAACGCCGCGUGAGUGAAGAAGGUUUUCGGAUCGUAAAACUCUGUUGUUAGAGAAGAACAAGGACGUUAGUAACUGAACGUCCCCUGACGGUAUCUAACCAGAAAGCCACGGCUAACUACGUGCCAGCAGCCGCGGUAAUACGUAGGUGGCAAGCGUUGUCCGGAUUUAUUGGGCGUAAAGCGAGCGCAGGCGGUUUCUUAAGUCUGAUGUGAAAGCCCCCGGCUCAACCGGGGAGGGUCAUUGGAAGCUGGGAGACUUGAGUGCAGAAGAGGAGAGUGGAAUUCCAUGUGUAGCGGUGAAAUGCGUAGAUAUAUGGAGGAACACCAGUGGCGAAGGCGGCUCUCUGGUCUGUAACUGACACUGAGGCUCGAAAGCGUGGGGAGCAAACAGG
Molecule: ribosomal RNA, 429 nt
Filed under: Gemmatimonadota bacterium
Lineage: Bacteria; Pseudomonadati; Gemmatimonadota
Description: Gemmatimonadetes bacterium partial 16S ribosomal RNA
Rfam family: Bacterial small subunit ribosomal RNA
Source: RNAcentral